ACCCAGGUGGCUCAGUCGGUUGAGCGUCCGACUUCAGCUCAGGUCACGAUCUCGCAAUUUGUGAGUUCCAGUCCCACACUGGGCU
This 85-nucleotide transfer RNA is filed under the name Felis catus (domestic cat). It matches the Rfam family "tRNA". Rfam says of the family: Transfer RNA (tRNA) molecules are approximately 80 nucleotides in length. Their secondary structure includes four short double-helical elements and three loops (D, anti-codon, and T loops). Further hydrogen bonds mediate the characteristic L-shaped molecular structure. tRNAs have two regions of fundamental functional importance: the anti-codon, which is responsible for specific mRNA codon recognition, and the 3' end, to which the tRNAs corresponding amino acid is attached (by aminoacyl-tRNA synthetases). tRNAs cope with the degeneracy of the genetic code in two manners: having more than one tRNA (with a specific anti-codon) for a particular amino acid; and 'wobble' base-pairing, i.e. permitting non-standard base-pairing at the 3rd anti-codon position. The record is from Rfam by way of RNAcentral. Lineage: Eukaryota; Metazoa; Chordata; Mammalia; Carnivora; Felidae.